AAUGUUGGCAAGAGGCGAUGAGAUAUUUGGUGCGCUUCCAAACAGGUUCUAGCGUUGAAACGACGGACGAUGACAAGAAGAGAAAGAGAAUCUCAAAUUCCAAGUACAGACCCCAGGCCUCUUCUGAUGAAGAGGAGUCUAGUCUUCCAGAUGCACCAGCAGUGCUGUCGUUUGGACAACCUCUUUUGAGCUUUGAAAACAUUGUUCCUGGUAACAAGGUUUCAGUGCUGCCCGAUGCUCCAGAAGUUGCAUCGAUUCCAGAAAACCAGGAAAAUGUUGUGCCAUCUGUAGACUUCAGAGGUGAACCAGGUUUCUCCCCAGAAAUUCAGACUCCACUUCACAGAGCCAAGAGUUUGAGUACAAGACACUUGACUGGUUACUCGCCGCAGCAGUUUCUGGAUGAAAGGUGUCGAGCUCGUCAAGUACUAAGCUUUACACCCCCAGCAGCAAAUUUACCCUGGCAGCAUAUGGGUGAAAACGCUGGAGGAGAAAGUCAUCGCUCUGUAAUUGGCCCUUGGACUCCCCUGGCAUCUCGUGUACAGCAUGAAGUUUUCAGCUAUGAAGAUUUCCAGAGACUCCAGAAUGAAAAACAAGCCGUGAUGGAGGAGAACCAAGCCCUUAGGGAGGAGAACCAAGCUCUGAGGGAGGAGAACCAAGCUCUGAGGGAGGAGAACCAAGCUCUGAGGGAAAGCACUGCACGAGCAGCUUCGGAUGACAGCGGCUCACUUCAAGAGCAGGUGAAGCAAGUUGGGACAAUGUUGAAGACGUUUGCUCGCACUGGGCAAACAGGUGCAGAUCAGACCUUAAUGCUGCGACGUCUUGGAGAGUUUGGCGUGAAGGCGGAAAAAGGCGCCGCACAGCUGAGAGGGACCCACAGCCGACCCCUUAAACCUAGGCUGACUACUGACAUCCCAGCAUCACUGACAACUGGAACCCUUUCUUUAUCCUGCAGUCAGUAA
Molecule: long non-coding RNA, 959 nt
Filed under: Carassius auratus (goldfish)
Lineage: Eukaryota; Metazoa; Chordata; Actinopteri; Cypriniformes; Cyprinidae
Description: lncRNA (ENSCARG00000069862.1)
Source: RNAcentral